This is a long non-coding RNA of Homo sapiens (human), 1077 nucleotides long. RefSeq annotates it as DYRK3 antisense RNA 1. The transcript is spliced from 2 exons. Lineage: Eukaryota; Metazoa; Chordata; Mammalia; Primates; Hominidae. The record is from RefSeq and is marked validated.
GCUAGUACUGGCGCGGGAGGCGGGAGGUUGGAGGCGAGGAGCUCGCGGCCUAGGCUGUUUGGGUCCCUGGCGCGAGCUGUAGACGGAGAGAGGGGUCCGGAGAAGGAGGGGUGAAAGUAGCAGUUAGCCCGCGAUCUCAGAAGGGCUGCCCGCCCCUCACGGUCCCUUAAUAGCACGUUGCGUCCUGGAAGUUCUAAAACGUCCCGCUUCAAUAUGAAUUUUAAAUUAGUGAAAACAUAUGUGUAUUGUUUUAGGCUUUCCCACCGCGGGGACGGCCCUCCGGGGGUUGACUUAGCUGGGAUGCAGAAUAGAAGCUGGGCCUUUGUCUGACUACCCUGCAACAGUCAGCCACAGACGGGAAGGCAGCGCAGGAAACUGAGGCCAAAGGAGCCGCGCUUCCUCAUGAGCAUGAAGCGGCAAAGCCUGAACUAGAAGCUUCUAACGCCUAACCGUCCUCUUGCCGCACCAGGACCUACCUCUGCAAGGCCCUUCCUGACUUUUUCCUUAGAAUGUGUGUAUAUGUGUCUUUUUCCUUUUCUGAUGCUAAGACACCUCAGAAACACCAAUGUUAAGCAGAUUUCCAUCGUUGGAGGUUAAAACACCCGAAUACAAGUGUUUUCUUGAGUGUGGCAUCUGGUCAGAUGUUUUAUGGGUUGGUUUGUUUUUAAAAAAAAAAAAUUUCCUGUUAGAUGGGUGGUAAGAACCAGUCAGAGUUUGUAAACCCACCAAGCACGAGGCGGUCGGACCGUCCAGAUUCUGGAGUCCAGAAGACACCAAACGUUCUCAGAAUGCCGAACGCGGGCGCCACCUGGUGGGACUAGAACGCUUAUUGUCCCAAAUCAGCAUAGCACACAGUUCCCAUAAAUCUUAAAAAUUCCCAUCCAAGGCUCAUUUCCGUGUGACUAAAAGUCAUAUUCUCUGUUCUCGUGACUCCAAGUAAAAAUGUCCCUAAAGAGCCAAAGUAUCUUCACUGUAUAAACUAAUAAUCUAUUGGUUUGGGGAAUUUUAUUUUUUGUGAUCAAUGUUACUUUAGCCUUUCUAUGAUAUACAUAUAAAUAAAAAAGUUUUCUUCCAUGA